Lycium barbarum (goji berry) is the source of this 787-nucleotide long non-coding RNA. RefSeq lists it as uncharacterized. The transcript is spliced from 2 exons. NCBI's taxonomy places the organism in Eukaryota, Viridiplantae, Streptophyta, Magnoliopsida, Solanales, Solanaceae. The record is from RefSeq and is a predicted model, not a curated record.
AAUUUGCCAAACCUAACAUUAGAAAACUUACAAAACCUAUACAAAAUAUCAAAUACAGUAAAAGAAAAAAAGUCACUAUUUAGUAAAGCAAAAGCCAUAAAUCACGUAACCGUUCAGUAUUCCCUCUCCUCAUAAUAUCUCCUUGCAAUUUUCUCUCCCCAUUUUCAUCCACGAUUCAUGGAAGUUUGAGAUUGAAUCCAUUAAGCGGCAGAUUCUCCACAUCACGAUUGGAACAUGAUUUCAGUUUCCUUCUUCAUUAAAAUCUUUUUAAUUUCAAAAGCUCCUCUCUCUACACCACUGUUUGAAGAUGCAAUUUUCAUUCAAUUUUUUAUCCUUCACUCAACUUCAACCACAUAUUCAUCUUCAUCAACCCACAAAUUACCCAUUGCUAAGGGUAUCUCCCCUUUUCAGUUUAGGCAUGGAGAUUUACUAGUGAGAAACCGUGAAGAUUUGGAUUGUAUAAUCAAGAAGAUAAGGGAGAAGAAGAGAUUGCCAAGAUCAGUCGAAAAGUUGCUGAAGAAGACAUGGAUAUUCAAGAUCACAUGUUCACGCCAUAGCAAUAUACUACUUUCAUUUAGAUUCCAUACAACUGUAUCAUAAGUGUAUUACUUAUGUGUUCAAAUCAAACGCUUACUGGCGUAACAAUAGUGGUAAAAAAUCUCACAUGUAUCACUUGUAUGUAAUAUGUAUAUAAUGUGUAUAAUAUAAAGGUGAUCGAGGUAAAUAUUCUAUCAAAGUUGUAUUAUAAUUGUAUGUUGAGUUGUAUGAAAUUUGUAUUUUAAGUUUA